RNAcentral lists this long non-coding RNA (574 nucleotides) under Equus caballus (horse). RNAcentral describes it as "lncRNA (ENSECAG00000048585.1)". Lineage: Eukaryota; Metazoa; Chordata; Mammalia; Perissodactyla; Equidae. The record is from RNAcentral.
GGCCAGGGUGUUGCCCUUAGGAGCAGACAGGAGAGACGCUCUAGUUUUCUUUUUAGCAUAUGUUUGUCUCCCUCAGAGUAGAAAAAGUUUCCCUCUUUUCUUAGGCUCACGUGGACUCUGGCGGAAGAAUUUAGUGACGUCCAAUUUCGAGUAACCGAACUUGUCUGGGAAACAAUUUGGGGUAGAAUUAUUGCAAGAUGCCUGAGGCUACUCUUGCCCUGCUAAGGCGAGGGGAAAGACGGAAGCAUGAAUUGACUAAGAUAGUAGUAAAAGACCAGCUGGGAGCUACUGGCCAUCAUCUCUGUCACCAAGGGAGAAAGCCAACAGAGAGAGGAAGAGCUGUGAAAGGGAAAGAGACAGCGAGUCUGGACCCUGGACUGUUCAGUAUACACACCUUGGAGAUGUUGCAAGUUCGGUUCUAGACCACCACAAUAAAGCAAAUAGCACAAUAAGGACAUAAUGCAAAAGAAGUUAAAAACUGUAUGUGAAGAUGUCAAGGACUUCCAGUGCUGGUAAAUAUUACAGACUUGGUUACCUGAACACCAUCCCACGACAAACAUCUUGAAAUGAUGGG